CAGUAGCCGCGGUAAUACGAAGGGUGCGAGCGUUAAUCGGAAUUACUGGGCGUAAAGCGUGCGUAGGCGGUGAGUUAAGUCUGCUGUGAAAUCCCCGGGCUCAACCUGGGAAUGGCAGUGGAUACUGGCUCGCUAGAGUGUGUCAGAGGAUGGUGGAAUUCCCGGUGUAGCGGUGAAAUGCGUAGAGAUCGGGAGGAACAUCAGUGGCGAAGGUGGCCAUCUGGGACAACACUGACGCUGAGGCACGAAAGCGUGGGGAGCAAACAGGAUUAGAUACCCCCGUAGUCCCUGUCUCUUAUAC
This 301-nucleotide ribosomal RNA is filed under the name uncultured bacterium. RNAcentral describes it as "partial 16S ribosomal RNA". It matches the Rfam family "Bacterial small subunit ribosomal RNA", at positions 509 to 807 of the family's 1533-position model. The record is from RNAcentral.